GGUGCUAAUACCGUAUAACACUAUUUUCCGCAUGGAAGAAAGUUGAAAGGCGCUUUUGCGUCACUGAUGGAUGGACCCGCGGUGCAUUAGCUAGUUGGUGAGGUAACGGCUCACCAAGGCCACGAUGCAUAGCCGACCUGAGAGGGUGAUCGGCCACACUGGGACUGAGACACGGCCCAGACUCCUACGGGAGGCAGCAGUAGGGAAUCUUCGGCAAUGGACGAAAGUCUGACCGAGCAACGCCGCGUGAGUGAAGAAGGUUUUCGGAUCGUAAAACUCUGUUGUUAGAGAAGAACAAGGAUGAGAGUAAAAUGUUCAUCCCUUGACGGUAUCUAACCAGAAAGCCACGGCUAACUACGUGCCAGCAGCCGCGGUAAUACGUAGGUGGCAAGCGUUGUCCGGAUUUAUUGGGCGUAAAGCGAGCGCAGGCGGUUUCUUAAGUCUGAUGUGAAAGCCCCCGGCUCAACCGGGGAGGGUCAUUGGAAACUGGGAGACUUGAGUGCAGAAGAGGAGAGUGGAAUUCCAUGUGUAGCGGUGAAAUGCGUAGAUAUGUGGAGGAACACCAGUGGCGAAGGCGGCUCUCUGGUCUGUAACUGACGCUGAGGCUCGAAAGCGUGGGGAGCGAACAGGAUUAGAUACCCUGGUAGUCCACGCCGUAAACGA
Molecule: ribosomal RNA, 663 nt
Filed under: uncultured bacterium
Lineage: Bacteria
Description: bacterial SSU rRNA
Rfam family: Bacterial small subunit ribosomal RNA
Source: RNAcentral